GAGAUCAAGCUAUGUCAUCACUACCAAGAUUUUUUGGGGAGGACAGGCAGAAACCGAGCGAGGUUUAAGCCGAAAGCACAUCAUUGAGGAGAUUGUGCGAGCCAUGACCUAUGUCAUCAACCAGGGCCUGGCCCUAUACUGGGGGACAUCCCGAUGGGGGGCUGCAGAAAUCAUGGAGGCCUACUCCAUGGCCAGACAGUUCAAUCUGAUUCCUCCAGUGUGUGAACAAGCGGAGCACCAUCUGUUUCAGAGGGAGAAGGUGGAGAUGCAGCUGCCAGAGCUCUACCACAAGAUUGGUUUGCAGCCCUCAUCCCUGCCUUUACCUUAGCCUCAUCCAUGGCUAGGUCCUUUUCCUGACACCCAGUGUUCUUCCCUUAGGAGUUGGAUCAGUCACUUGGUACCCUCUAGCCUGUGGUCUCAUUACUAGCAAGUAUGAUGGGCGAGUCCCAGAUACUUGCAGGGCCUCCAUCAAGGGCUACCAGUGGCUCAAGGACAAAGUGCAGAGUGAAGAUGGCAAGAAGCAACAAGCCAAAGUCAUGGACCUUCUUCCUGUCGCUCACCAGCUGGGCUGCACCGUGGCCCAGCUUGCUAUUGCGUGGUGUCUCCGCAGUGAGGGUGUCAGCUCUGUCUUGCUGGGGGUGUCGAGUGCGGAGCAGUUGAUAGAACACCUGGGCGCGCUACAG
RNAcentral lists this long non-coding RNA (683 nucleotides) under Homo sapiens (human). RNAcentral's name for it is "non-protein coding lnc-TRAPPC1-3:1". The record is from RNAcentral. Lineage: Eukaryota; Metazoa; Chordata; Mammalia; Primates; Hominidae.